CCUACGGGGGGCAGCAGUGGGGAAUAUUGGACAAUGGGGGGAACCCUGAUCCAGCCAUGCCGCGUGUGUGAAGAAGGCCCUCGGGUUGUAAAGCACUUUCAGUGAGGAAGAACGCCUGGUGGUUAAUACCCAUCAGGAAAGACAUCACUCACAGAAGAAGCACCGGCUAACUCCGUGCCAGCAGCCGCGGUAAUACGGAGGGUGCGAGCGUUAAUCGGAAUUACUGGGCGUAAAGCGCGCGUAGGUGGCUUGAUAAGCCGGUUGUGAAAGCCCCGGGCUCAACCUGGGAACGGCAUCCGGAACUGUCAAGCUAGAGUGCAGGAGAGGAAGGUAGAAGUCCCGGUGUAGCGGUGAAAUGCGUAGAGAUCGGGAGGAAUACCAGUGGCGAAGGCGGCCUUCUGGACUGACACUGACACUGAGGUGCGAAAGCGUGGGUAGCAAACAGGAUUAGAGACCCCAGUAGUC
Molecule: ribosomal RNA, 465 nt
Filed under: Vreelandella stevensii
Lineage: Bacteria; Pseudomonadati; Pseudomonadota; Gammaproteobacteria; Oceanospirillales; Halomonadaceae
Description: partial 16S ribosomal RNA
Rfam family: Bacterial small subunit ribosomal RNA
Source: RNAcentral